Molecule: ribosomal RNA, 169 nt
Filed under: uncultured Acidobacteriota bacterium
Lineage: Bacteria; Pseudomonadati; Acidobacteriota
Description: uncultured Acidobacteria bacterium partial 16S ribosomal RNA
Rfam family: Bacterial small subunit ribosomal RNA
Source: RNAcentral
CCUACGGAGGCAGCAGUGAGGAAUAUUGGGCAAUGGGCGAAAGCCUGACCCAGCAACGCCGCGUGAAGGAUGAAGUAUUUCGGUAUGUAAACUUCGAAAGAAUAGGAAGAAUAAAUGACGGUACUAUUUAUAAGCUCCGGCUAACUACGUGCCAGCAGCCGCGGUAAUA